Sturnus vulgaris (Common starling) is the source of this 177-nucleotide non-coding RNA. The record is from RefSeq and is a predicted model, not a curated record. Lineage: Eukaryota; Metazoa; Chordata; Aves; Passeriformes; Sturnidae.
CAGCAGCAGCAGCAGCAGCCACAGACAAAAGACCUAGGGGCCGGCCUCGCAAAGAUGGCGCUUCCCCUUUCCAGAGAGCCAGAAAGAAGCCUCGGAGUAGAGGAAAAACUGCAGUGGAGGAUGAAGACAGUAUGGAUGGUUUGGAGGCAGCAGAAACAGAAAACACUGUGGAAACAG